This 515-nucleotide ribosomal RNA is filed under the name uncultured bacterium. Its description in RNAcentral is "bacterial SSU rRNA". It matches the Rfam family "Bacterial small subunit ribosomal RNA", at positions 994 to 1509 of the family's 1533-position model. The record is from RNAcentral.
AACGGAGCGGAGAUGCUCUGGUGCCUUCGGGAGCUGUGAGACAGGUGCUGCAUGGCUGUCGUCAGCUCGUGUUGUGAAAUGUUGGGUUAAGUCCCGNAACGAGCGCAACCCUUAUCCUUUGUUGCCAUCGAUUUGGUCGGGAACUCAAAGGAGACUGCCGGUGAUAAACCGGAGGAAGGUGGGGAUGACGUCAAGUCAUCAUGGCCCUUACGGCCAGGGCUACACACGUGCUACAAUGGCGCAUACAAAGAGAAGCGACCUCGCGAGAGCAAGCGGACCUCAUAAAGUGCGUCGUAGUCCGGAUCGGAGUCUGCAACUCGACUCCGUGAAGUCGGAAUCGCUAGUAAUCGUGGAUCAGAAUGCCACGGUGAAUACGUUCCCGGGCCUUGUACACACCGCCCGUCACACCAUGGGAGUGGGUUGCAAAAGAAGUAGGUAGCUUAACCUUCGGGAGGGCGCUUACCACUUUGUGAUUCAUGACUGGGGUGAAGUCGUAACAAGGUAAGCGUAGCGAG